CGCGUUAACGAACGAGACCUUACUCUGCUAAAUAGCCAGGCUAGCUUUGGCUGGUCGCCGGCUUCUUAGAGAGACUAUCAACUCAAGUUGAUGGAAGUUUGAGGCAAUAACAGGUCUGUGAUGCCCUUAGAUGUUCUGGGCCGCACGCGCGCUACACUGACAGAGCCAACGAGUUCUUCACCUUGGCCGAAAGGUCUGGGUAAUCUUGUUAACCUCCGUCGUGCUGGGGAUAGUCCUUUGCAAUUUUCGGACUUCAACGAGGAAUUCCUAGUAAUCACGAUUCAUCAGAUCGUGGUGAUUACGUCCCUGCCCUUUGUACACACCGCCCGUCGCUAGUACCGAUUGAAUGGCUUC
RNAcentral lists this ribosomal RNA (354 nucleotides) under Eukaryota sp. RNAcentral's name for it is "SSU rRNA". It matches the Rfam family "Eukaryotic small subunit ribosomal RNA", at positions 1324 to 1700 of the family's 1831-position model. The record is from RNAcentral.